UCAAAUGAGCACUACAAAUUUAAGCCUGAUGCUGCAAGAGAAAAAUCCUGGGCAAAAGGCACCAAUUCAACAGCAUGGUGGCCAAGAAAAAGGAUGGCCAUUCCCAAACAAGCAAGACCAGAGAUUGAACAGGAAAAAUCAUAAACACAGCAGAUGUGCGGUGCCAACCUUCUGAUAUGGACAAAUGUAUAUUUUCGUAUUUGAACGAUGAGCAGUUGAAGACUGCCAAUCUUUUGAUACUAUGAUUAUUUUGAGUACAUGAUACUAUGAACUUAUGUACAUGAAUUAAGCUUUUAUAGCAUC
Long non-coding RNA from Pyrus x bretschneideri (Chinese white pear), 303 nucleotides. RefSeq lists it as uncharacterized. The transcript has 2 exons. The record is from RefSeq and is a predicted model, not a curated record. NCBI's taxonomy places the organism in Eukaryota, Viridiplantae, Streptophyta, Magnoliopsida, Rosales, Rosaceae.